AAAUGCUUAUUGGUGGCUGAAGGUUCCACAUCUCCUGUGUGGCUGCUUGGUGUCUUUGCUCUGGGACUCUUCAAUCUGAGCACUGAUGGAGUUCGGACUUCGCACGACAGAGAAGGACAAUCUCCUCACGUAGUGUUCACACACAGAAAUGGGUUCGACUUCGAUUCUGUACGUAUGAAACUCUACAGUGUAUGCGCAGACCCCGGGCCUGCGGUGUGUCUUCGAUGCAUCCCGUCUUACACUGAACGACCCUCAGUUUUCUGUUCACUAUUUCGCUUAAAAAACAAACCAAAACAAACACUAAAAAAAAAAAAACAACAAACAGAACUCAAAAAAUUCCACCCGAGAGACAUUUUCAUAGCGUAGAAGACAGCUACGAGUUAGUGUUGUGUUUUCUUUGUAAACAGUUUCGUAUGCAAUAUCAUACAUAACCAUGGCUGGCCUUCAGAGCAAUGGAGGAAGCGAUAUUGCUUUAUUUGGGGUUAGGCUGCGCUGAGUGGCAGAGCGGAACGCGGCGGUGGUGCAGCACGAGCCCUCAUUCACACCCACGAUGGAAACAGCGUCGGAGGGGGAAAAAGAAACGCGAACACCUUUCAGGUCAUAUACUGACAGCUACCCAAUGGUUGACUACUCUAGCGAGAUGUGUGACAUUCACCAGCUGAAUGAAUGCUGCUGUACAAUGGAAAAAGAAAAUACAGCAAGAGAGCCAUGCUACCUUAAAGUCCAAGCUACAAAUUCAACUUAGAAUGAGCACCGAUGAGCGUAAGAAACGAAAAAAGGGACAGAUCAGGCUUCGUUUUAAUCGAGCCCAUCACAAACGACUUCUUGUGUUUUAGUGGGGGAGGG
Molecule: long non-coding RNA, 846 nt
Filed under: Gallus gallus (chicken)
Lineage: Eukaryota; Metazoa; Chordata; Aves; Galliformes; Phasianidae
Description: lncRNA (ENSGALG00010029810.1)
Source: RNAcentral